CUUGGUCAUUUAGAGGAAGUAAAAGUCGUAACAAGGUCUCCGUAGGUGAACCUGCGGAGGGAUCAUUACAAGUGACCCCGGUCUAACCACCGGGAUGUUCAUAACCCUUUGUUGUCCGACUCUGUUACCUCCGGGGCGACCCUGCCUUCGGGCGGGGGCUCCGGGUGGACACUUCAAACUCUUGCGUAACUUUGCAGUCUGAGUAAACUUAAUUAAUAAAUUAAAACUUUUAACAACGGAUCUCUUGGUUCUGGCAUCGAUGAAGAACGCAGCGAAAUGCGAUAAGUAAUGUGAAUUGCAGAAUUCAGUGAAUCAUCGAAUCUUUGAACGCACAUUGCGCCCCCUGGUAUUCCGGGGGGCAUGCCAGUUCGAGCGUCAUUUCACCACUCAAGCCUCGCUUGGUAUUGGGCAACGCGGUCCGCCGCGUGCCUCAAAUCGACCGGCUGGGUCUUCUGUCCCCUAAGCGUUGUGGAAACUAUUCGCUAAAGGGUGUUCGGGAGGCUACGCCGUAAAACAACCCCAUUUCUAAGGUUGACCUCGGAUCAGGUAGGGAUACCCGCUGAACUUAAGCAUAUCAAUAAGCGGAGGA
This 589-nucleotide ribosomal RNA is filed under the name uncultured fungus. Its description in RNAcentral is "eukaryotic LSU rRNA". The stretch from base 225 to 378 matches the Rfam family "5.8S ribosomal RNA". Lineage: Eukaryota; Fungi. The record is from RNAcentral.